UUCUAGGUUAAUUAUACGCGUACAGAAAUGCCCUCUCUCUCAUUGUAACUUCAAUUAUUUUGCAAGUACAAUGCAAUGCAGGCAGAUGCCCUUGAAUCUCCACCUCCGUGGCUACUGAUCGACUGCGAUUUUUAUUUGAAGAAGAAAGGCAGGAUUAACAGGUGGUCGGCACUGUUGUACUUGUCCACACUGAGGGGUCAUAUUCCUCAAAAGCUCAAAUCGAAAUGUACUAACAAGGAAUUGUGCAGAUGCAGCCUCAAGCUCUUUCAGCUCGAGAGAGGAAAAACCAACAACCCGCGACUAGGUCUGAUUGGAACUGCAUCCUCUGACGAUCUCUGGCCAGCGCACCAGCACCAAUACCUCCACCUCGUCGUCGCCAUCAGAUCUCCGGUCUCUGUUCGUCAAAUCGUUAAGUUUGGAGAGAGAAUUGACGGCGAGAAGCAACAACUGCUCUGAUGGUUGUGUGGUGCUUUCCGGCAACCGAUUAGGCUACAUGUGUUUCACCAUGUUCUUCAAUGCUGGCGGCCUCUCUGGUCUUUCUGGGCUCUGUCUCUUGCUCAUCUGCACUUAUAGAUCAACAAUCGAGAAGUUUGUUGAGUUGCUGUUGUGAAAAUCAUGAGUUCAUCACCAUCCCCGUCUUGGCAGUGAGUUCUUGGAACUGAGUUUGGGUCAAUUGAAGUUGAUUUUCGAUUUAAAAAGGUAUAAUCCCGACCUUGAAUCAAAGUUUUGUACUUGAUGAUAAUUAGAUGUUA
Rosa chinensis is the source of this 752-nucleotide long non-coding RNA. RefSeq lists it as uncharacterized. NCBI's taxonomy places the organism in Eukaryota, Viridiplantae, Streptophyta, Magnoliopsida, Rosales, Rosaceae. The transcript has 3 exons. The record is from RefSeq and is a predicted model, not a curated record.